This 434-nucleotide ribosomal RNA is filed under the name uncultured bacterium. RNAcentral describes it as "partial 16S ribosomal RNA". It matches the Rfam family "Bacterial small subunit ribosomal RNA", at positions 29 to 507 of the family's 1533-position model. The record is from RNAcentral.
AACGAACGCUGGCGGCAUGCCUAACACAUGCAAGUCGAACGGUGCCUUCGGGCAUAGUGGCGCACGGGUGAGUAACGCGUGGGAACCUGCCCUGUGGUACGGAACAACUCCGGGAAACUGGAGCUAAUACCGUAUGUGUCCCCUGGGACAAAGAUUUCAUCGCCAUGGGAUGGGCCCGCGUAGGAUUAGCUAGUUGGCGGGGUAACGGCCCACCAAGGCUACGAUCCUUAGCUGGUCUGAGAGGAUGAUCAGCCACACUGGGACUGAGACACGGCCCAGACUCCUACGGGAGGCAGCAGUGGGGAAUAUUGGACAAUGGGCGCAAGCCUGAUCCAGCAAUGCCGCGUGAGUGAUGAAGGCCUUCGGGUUGUAAAGCUCUUUCGCACGCGACGAUGAUGACGGUAGCGUGAGAAGAAGCCCCGGCUAACUUCGUG